GGCGGCAGGCCUAACACAUGCAAGUCGAGCGAGGUAGCAAUACCUAGCGGCGGACGGGUGAGUAACGCGUGGGAACAUACCCUUUGGUACGGAAUAGCCUCGGGAAACUGGGAGUAAUACCGUAUGUGCCCUUCGGGGGAAAGAUUUAUCGCCAAAGGAUUGGCCCGCGUUGGAUUAGGUAGUUGGUGGGGUAAUGGCCUACCAAGCCGACGAUCCAUAGCUGGUUUGAGAGGAUGAUCAGCCACACUGGGACUGAGACACGGCCCAGACUCCUACGGGAGGCAGCAGUGGGGAAUCUUAGACAAUGGGGGAAACCCUGAUCUAGCCAUGCCGCGUGAUCGAUGAAGGCCUUAGGGUUGUAAAGAUCUUUCAGAUGGGAAGAUAAUGACGGUACCAUCAGAAGAAGCCCCGGCUAACUCCGUGCCAGCAGCCGCGGUAAUACGGAGGGGGCUAGCGUUAUUCGGAAUUACUGGGCGUAAAGCGCACGUAGGCGGAUUAGAAAGUCAGAGGUGAAAUCCCAGGGCUCAACCUUGGAACUGCCUUUGAAACUCCUAGUCUUGAGGUCGAGAGAGGUGAGUGGAAUUCCGAGUGUAGAGGUGAAAUUCGUAGAUAUUCGGAGGAACACCAGUGGCGAAGGCGG
RNAcentral lists this ribosomal RNA (640 nucleotides) under uncultured bacterium. Its description in RNAcentral is "bacterial SSU rRNA". It matches the Rfam family "Bacterial small subunit ribosomal RNA", at positions 38 to 724 of the family's 1533-position model. The record is from RNAcentral.